GAGAAGAAAGAAGGGGUGGCGUGUCAGCGGCCGAAGGUCACGGAAGGAAAGAGGGUAGAGGAAGAGGUCAGCGGCGGAAGGUAGGGGAGGAUCGAGGAAGAGGGCCGAGGCUCAGGUGUGGCACCGUUCGUGGCUCCCGCGCUGCAGGUCCGGCUGGGUGUGGCACGCCACCACACGCGAACCUAAAGCCCCCCGGCGUAGCUGAGCAGGGGCCCCUCGACGCAGCAGCACCCGCAACUGUGUCUUGUGCUUCCCUUCGCUGCUUAGCUGACGGGCUCGCUGCCGCCCGCCGUCCUAGACCGCGAUCACGCUACCGAGCAGCUCGGCGCCGUCUCCUUUGACAGGGACCACCUCAGUCGUCGUUGAGUCGGUGCCAAGUCCGGCGGGGUAGAGACAGGCUACGCGACUUGGUGGCUCCUUCGGCGUAGCUGAUUCGUGUCCGCGGACCGCCUCCGCUGAGACGACACGACCCUGCGACGUCAGGGAAGUUACGGCACACAGGCGCAGGCAGCAUCUGCCGCAGGAGUGGGGACCGAAGAGGGAGCUGGAGCGCCCGACAGUCACCGAACGGGGUGGUAGAGCUCAAGCGACACAAAAUAAAGACUUAAAAACUCUGUCAUAAACCAACAGGUGCGCGUCCGUUGCUGAUAAGGUACAAGAGCAGCGACCUCUAGCUGAUGUGUCCUCGUACCCAUCUCCGCUAUACCACCACAUGGGCGUUUUUUCUCUCCGUUAUACCACCACCUAUACCACAGUGGCGACAAAGCGACUUCUUAUAGAACCUGUACAACAUCUAACUUAUACACCCUAUACGAUGUUAUAAUAUCUCUAAAUAGACAUUUAACAACAACAGAAAGAAGGUAAACAUACUUCACAACAAAACGUCAUACAAAUAGUAAAUAAAUUACUGUAUGACAUCGUAUAUAAAACCUUUUUUU
This 938-nucleotide ribosomal RNA is filed under the name Triticum aestivum (bread wheat). RNAcentral describes it as "partial small subunit ribosomal RNA". Lineage: Eukaryota; Viridiplantae; Streptophyta; Magnoliopsida; Poales; Poaceae. The record is from RNAcentral.